This 737-nucleotide long non-coding RNA is filed under the name Homo sapiens (human). RNAcentral's name for it is "non-protein coding lnc-IGFBP7-3:3". The record is from RNAcentral. Lineage: Eukaryota; Metazoa; Chordata; Mammalia; Primates; Hominidae.
GGGGCUUGAAUGGCAAAGAUGAAACCAAGAAUGCAAAUAUCUUAUCCAGAAAAAAUAUAUGGCAUGAGGCCUACUUGUCUGCACUAAGUGUCUCAAGGGGCAUGGCUUAGUCAAACCACAACUCCAUGGAACUUAAUGAAGCAGAGCACUUUAGUGAAAAGAGAAAAGAAGAAAGAAAAUAAAGAAGGAAGGAAAAGGGGAACAAAGAGGAACUGUUCCAGUCAAGCCUCCAAGGACCUCCAUGGAUGUCAAAUCCAUGUUGCUAAAUUCAAGGAGAAUGUUCUUUCCUUAUCUCAGUUUGUGAAAGUAGAAUCCUCACGAAUGGAAUUAGUGCCCUUAUAAGAAGAAAUACAAGAGAAAUGAUCUCUUUCUGGACCAUAAGAGGAUACAGUGUAAAGACAGACCUCUGCAAGAGAGCCGUCACUGAGAAAUGAACCUGCUGCCCUCCUGAUCUUGGAUGGGCCAGCUUCAGAAAUGUGAAAAAUAAAGGUUUCUUGUUUAAGCCACCCAGGCAAUGAUAUGUGUUAUGGCACCCUAAGCUGACUAAGGACAGCUUUCUUCCUCAAUCUCAUUCAUGGGUCCUCAGGACUAUGAGUUGGAUAUUUUUCAUCAGCAUGCUGAUAUAAUGCCUUUGUUUAAUUUUCUGUGUCUCGAAUUUUUAGCUCUAGGUCCAGAACUUGCCUUUGGCUUCUAUUUGUGUGUGUAUUGCAUCUGUCUCACCAUAUAUCAACAGGUAU